UUGACGGGGGCCCGCACAAGCGGUGGAGCAUGUGGUUUAAUUCGAUGCAACGCGAAGAACCUUACCUGGUCUUGACAUCCACGGAAGUUUUCAGAGAUGAGAAUGUGCCUUCGGGAACCGUGAGACAGGUGCUGCAUGGCUGUCGUCAGCUCGUGUUGUGAAAUGUUGGGUUAAGUUCCCCAACGAGCGCAACCCUUAUCCUUUGUUGCCAGCGGUCCGGCCGGGAACUCAAAGGAGACUGCCAGUGAUAAACUGGAGGAGGGUGGGGAUGACGUCAAGUCAUCAUGGCCCUUACGACCAGGGCUACACACGUGCUACAAUGGCGCAUACAAAGAGAAGCGACCUCGCGAGAGCAAGCGGACCUCAUAAAGUGCGUCGUAGUCCGGAUUGGAGUCUGCAACUCGACUCCAUGAAGUCGGAAUCGCUAGUAAUCGUGGAUCAGAAUGCCACGGUGAAUACGUUCCCGGGCCUUGUACACACCGCCCGUCACACCAUGGGAGUGGGUUGCAAAAGAAGUAGGUAGCUUAACCUUCGGGAGGGCGCUUACCACUUUGUGAUUC
This 560-nucleotide ribosomal RNA is filed under the name Shigella sp. RNAcentral's name for it is "bacterial SSU rRNA". It matches the Rfam family "Bacterial small subunit ribosomal RNA", at positions 910 to 1470 of the family's 1533-position model. Lineage: Bacteria; Pseudomonadati; Pseudomonadota; Gammaproteobacteria; Enterobacterales; Enterobacteriaceae. The record is from RNAcentral.